RNAcentral lists this long non-coding RNA (373 nucleotides) under Coturnix japonica (Japanese quail). RNAcentral describes it as "lncRNA (ENSCJPG00005007451.1)". Lineage: Eukaryota; Metazoa; Chordata; Aves; Galliformes; Phasianidae. The record is from RNAcentral.
GAUACUCUUAUUUAUUUUGACUGAAAAAGUUCAACACAACCAGUGGAGAAAGAUGAGGGAUGGAUGUGGAUGAUGUUUCUGUGAGCAACACGCAUGGUGUGGAGCAGUCUUUGUUGGUGAUGGUGUAUGCAGUAUGUGACUGCACAGGAACUGACUCCUCAGGCUUUCUGAAGGAACUGGAAUUAAAUUAGACUCUUCUCAGCCAAACCAGUUCCUUCACCCAGUUCAAAAUACAACCAUGGCCACAUUACAGAAAAAGUUGUAUGGAUGUGGAGACAAACAGCAGAAGUCAGGAUGCCUCUCAUUAGCCAUCGGGGCUGCCAAAAGGUGAGAAGGUGACAAGAAUGAAAUGCACAAAAUGCAUGUGUAGGAG